GUGGGGAAUCUUCCGCAAUGGACGAAAGUCUGACGGAGCAACGCUGCGUGAGUGAAGAAGGUUUUCGGAUCGUAAAGCUCUUUCGUUAGGGACGAACGUGCUCUUUGUGAAUAAUGAGGAGUAAUGACGGUACCUAAAUAAGAAGCCACGGCUAACUACGUGCCAGCAGCCGCGGUAAUACGUAGGUGGCAAGCGUUGUCCGGAAUUAUUGGGCGUAAAGCGCGCGCAGGCGGGAUAUCAAGUCUGUCUUAAAAGUGCGAGGCUCAACCUCGUGAGGGGACAGAAACUGGUAUUCUUGAGUGUCGGAGAGGAAAGUGGAAUUCCAAGUGUAGCGGUGAAAUGCGUAGAGAUUUGGAAGAACACCAGUGGCGAAGGCGACUUUCUGGACGAUGUCUGACGCUGAGGCGCGAAAGCUAGGGGAGCGAACGGGAUUAGAAACCCGAGUAGUCC
This 450-nucleotide ribosomal RNA is filed under the name uncultured bacterium. RNAcentral describes it as "partial 16S ribosomal RNA". It matches the Rfam family "Bacterial small subunit ribosomal RNA", at positions 354 to 796 of the family's 1533-position model. The record is from RNAcentral.